CUUGGUGAAGCUUUCCCCUGUGAACCUGGAAUCUUCUGAUACAGGCUCUGAAAAUCUCUGGACACACUGUCAGGAAGGAUUUUCAGGAACUUGAAUGCAGGGACCACGAUCUUCCUGCAGCCAGGAUCCUCUCUACCAUGAAGAUCACAGAAUGACAGAAUGGUCGGGGUUGGAAGGGAUCUCUAGAGACCAUCAAGUCCAACCACCCUGCAAAGCAGGCUCCCUACA
Non-coding RNA from Coturnix japonica (Japanese quail), 228 nucleotides. NCBI's taxonomy places the organism in Eukaryota, Metazoa, Chordata, Aves, Galliformes, Phasianidae. The record is from RefSeq and is a predicted model, not a curated record.